Molecule: long non-coding RNA, 502 nt
Organism: Oncorhynchus tshawytscha (Chinook salmon)
Lineage: Eukaryota; Metazoa; Chordata; Actinopteri; Salmoniformes; Salmonidae
Source: Ensembl
GUGAUGCUUACUGAGAGAAGAGAGAAGUGUUAUCUGUAGAACAUGCUGUACUCACUCUCACUACUGUCACUCACACUCUGUGGAUUACACACAAACCUGACAUAAACCAUGAAUUUGACAGACCUCUUUCGUAGGUGGUCUAAAGAGUGUGUGUAUCUGCGCACGUGAUUGUGUCACCCCAGGUCAAGUUGUUGUGUGUCCAUCCUGUAAUAGGGGGCUAAAGUCUUCUCUAAUCUGUCUCAUAGACUGGCUAACUAAUACUUGAUGAACCACUCAAUGCUACAACUCUCCACAUGCAGGCCAACUUAUUAGAUGUGUAAUGAGAGAUUCCAUGUCCAUCUCCCCCAUGUUAAGGCAUAUGGAUAAUGGUAUCAUGGAGAGUAUUGUUAUUGGGUUAUUAUUGGUGGGCUAUGAUGAAUGAGAAGAAGGAAGUAGAGGAGUGGUAGAGGGAGAGAUGCAUGAGGAGAAGGAAGAAGAGGAGUGGUAGAGGGAGAGAUUAAUG